Small nucleolar RNA from Bos taurus (domestic cattle), 206 nucleotides. Ensembl annotates it as Small nucleolar RNA ZL1. Lineage: Eukaryota; Metazoa; Chordata; Mammalia; Artiodactyla; Bovidae. The record is from Ensembl.
GGAGAAGCAAAGUGAUGAGCAUUACUAGCUGGAGCUCCAAAGAGGCACGCGCGUGCGUGGGAGUAUGUGUGUGUGGGUGUGUGUUUCCUUGUCUGUGCAUGCACACGUGUGUCUGGGAGUACGAAUGCGUGCGACUGGUUGUAGGGAACUAGUUAUGUGCCUCCUUUUGGACCAUGACAGUUAAACUGAUAAGAUCUGAUUGCUUC